AUGCAUUACAUUUAUGUCAGGAAAAAUACAACCCAGAUGGGUUGGCAAUGCGUGUUAUAAAGACGGCGAGUGUGGCUGAGCGGUUGCCCAAGUCACAAGAAGUUUGCAAGGAACGAGAGUUGCCAGCAGUGGUCGAUCAUUUCAUGCAUGCUUAGGUUCCAGAAGAGGCUCGUCUCCUGCGCUGUGGGAAGAAGACAUGGCUGGAUCACAAUGAGAACGCCAACUCCCCGCAAGUGUUCAGCCAAUCGGUUCUGCUGCUUGAUGGCAGAGGGCAUUUAAUUUGUCCACUUGCUGCCAUUGUGGCAAAGCAAGUUCUGCUGGGCCACAAGGUGGUAGUUGAGGGUAUCAACGUAUUUGGAAACUUUUAGUGUAACAAAUGUUUGAAGUGUUGCUGCAUUCUCCUGCCCAGACUGCAGAUAACACCAGGAUCACUUGUGUACGUUGACAGGCCUGGAGGAUCUUGAAAACGAUGGGAGAUUCUUCAAGGGCUUCAGUUGUGAAAUGAAAUGCUUCUAAGUAAACAUUUAGUUGAUUGGAUUGUAAACUUUGCUGUAUCCUGUGCAUAUGACCAAUAUUAACUUGGAUUUGAUUCCCCAAAGUUGCCAAGGCAACAGUCAAGGAAUGUUGGUGAUAUGACAUGUCCCUGGACUCCUUCCUACCAGAGUUUUCCUAAGUAAAACGCUUUGUGUCAACUGCUGAUGUAAAAAGGGCUAUCUAAAUAGAAUUGUUAAAGUCCAUUGCCACUAAUCAAGUAAUUUGUGCUUGCAGCAUUUGAA
Molecule: long non-coding RNA, 776 nt
Organism: Coregonus clupeaformis (lake whitefish)
Lineage: Eukaryota; Metazoa; Chordata; Actinopteri; Salmoniformes; Salmonidae
Exons: 7
Source: RefSeq, a predicted model, not a curated record